CUCAUCUACUGUGACAUAGUCGUACAGAAAAUAUUGUGUUAUACGAGUCCAAUGUUAACUGUAAGACUGUGUCUUGGUGGCUUGAA
Glossina morsitans morsitans is the source of this 86-nucleotide non-coding RNA. NCBI's taxonomy places the organism in Eukaryota, Metazoa, Arthropoda, Insecta, Diptera, Glossinidae. The record is from Rfam.